AGUAGAGAAACACAGAGAAGUCUAGGCAGGACUGGCAGACUACAGCAAUGCCUCAACCAAGAAGCCUCUGCGAGAGCUUGUUCUAGGAAUUUUCAUCAAUGGGGCUUUUAGUCAGCAGGGUCUUGAGUUGCAGGGAUUCCAGUCUGUUAGAGCCACAGCCAGAAGCCAUAGCCUGAGCCAGCUACAUUCCUGGCAGUCGCAAGCGAAAAAGAAACAGUUUGGAGGAGUUGGCAACAAGUUCUAAUGUUCAUGGACCUCAAAACCAGGGAAUGUAUCCACAUCAAGUUCUCAACUACAUCUACUGGAAAAGGGUUAAGAUCUCAUCUAAUGAUGCUUAUCAAAACUUAUUUUUGGACGGGCAUGAUAGCAACAUUAAAAUCCGUGCUCUGGGAAGAACAUGGUGUUUACACAAAGUAUUUUUAUGUCAGUCAGGCUACUUUGCUAACAUUCUCAAAGGUACUUGGAGAGAAUCACACCAUGGUGUUAUAAAUCUGAUCAUUAAGAAUGAGGAUAUUGAUACCCGAUCUCUGCAUUUUGUGUUUGGUGCUUUGUACACGGAUGCGGAUUUGUCAAUAACACCUCUGGAAGUUCCUCAAGUUUUGGCAGCAGCAUGCCUGCUUCGGGUGGAUCGAGUAAUUCAGCAGUGUGAAGGAAUCAUGAAAGAAACUAUCAACAGGAACACUGUGUGCUCCUAUUAUUUGGCAGCAGAAACCUAUAGAUUAAAAGCUGUAAACAUGAGAUGCUUUGAAUGGCUUCUUUGCAAUUUGAUGGUACAUCCAAGUGUGGCACUUUACAAGGAAGUAGAUUUGAAGUUGAUGUAUCUUCUAGCACUGUCUUCUGACUUACUAGUCAUGCAAAAGGAGAUUGAUGUAUAUACCACACUAAAAAUAUGGAUGUUCCUUUAUCUUAAUCCAUGCUGGAACGGAACCAUGAAACAGCUUUUACAACACGCAAACAACUGGCUUUCCACCCACAUGGCAUAUGUUGAUAACAUCAGUUUUCUUGAAAGUGAAGAAGGACUAAUAUUUCAACCCGUGUUUAAAAAGCUGAGAUUUCAGCACAUCAUCUGUGACUUGACUUCCACAACUAUUCUUGAACAAGAUCGACUAAUAACUAUGGCAUGGUUGUCACCCAUUUACAAACAACAGUGGUUGACUUUGCUGCGAACACAAGAAUAUGGGGUAAUUGGACCACAAGUUAUCAAUGAACAAGAACUUGAAGAAUGCACCAUGAGGUGUGGUACAAUGAUCCCCAAGGAUGGAAGAUAUACUUGGAAGUGGUCAUUUGGACGACUUGGCUUUCCUUUACGUGUGACCUUUACCAGGCAGUGUGUAAUUUUAAGGCAACGGUGUCAGAGGUGUGAUGGUUCUGCUUGCCACAACCAUAUCCGAAAUGUCAUAUUCAGAAUAACUUUGGUGUGUUUUGAUUCCAACAAAUGAGUAACUUUCAGAAAGACAACAGGUUAUAAAAUCCUCACCUUUGAAUAUAAGGAGGAGCAAAUUGUAAUGAAAUUGGAUAGUGAUGUUCUAACCUUCCCUAUGUGUAUAUUCUGCAAUUUCCUUUUUGUCAACCUAGGAAAUGCAGAAAACAAGUAAUCUUAUCAAUUAUUAGACUGUAAGCAUUUUACAAGUAUUGAAUGGUUCAUUUAAUAUGAAGGCUGUGUAAUGACUACAGUGAAGAAGACCAAAAACAAAUUCAAUAUUCCUUGGAGUCUAGUACCACCAGAAGUGACUGCUUCCCUCCAUCACCUUAUUUCCAUGUAUUUCUGAAGAAAACCUUUACUUCCAACAAAGUAUUUGUCAAAUCAAAUAAACCUAAUCUUCUGAUUUAAAUUUACCAUCGAGAUCCAAGCUUGGAAUGGAAAUAAGAGACUAUAUUUGCAAGGUAAAACAUCUCAAUCAAUUUGUUAAGUAGAUUUGGCCCUAGCUAAAAUUGAGACAAAAUAAAAUCAUGCCAUUGUUGAAACUGUUGUGAACCAAUGCAUUCAUUAUGACAUUA
Molecule: RNA transcript, 1998 nt
Organism: Mus musculus (house mouse)
Lineage: Eukaryota; Metazoa; Chordata; Mammalia; Rodentia; Muridae
Gene name: predicted gene 14367
Exons: 1
Source: RefSeq, a predicted model, not a curated record